UGAACGCUGGCGGCGUGCUUAACACAUGCAAGUCGAACGGGAAACCUUUUAAUGAAGCUUCGGCAGAUUUAGCUGGUUUCUAGUGGCGGACGGGUGAGUAACGCGUGGGUAACCUGCCUUAUACAGGGGGAUAACAGUCAGAAAUGACUGCUAAUACCGCAUAAGCGCACAGGACCGCAUGGUCCGGUGUGAAAAACUCCGGUGGUAUAAGAUGGACCCGCGUUGGAUUAGCUUGUUGGUGGGGUAACGGCUCACCAAGGCGACGAUCCAUAGCCGGCCUGAGAGGGUGAACGGCCACAUUGGGACUGAGACACGGCCCAGACUCCUACGGGAGGCAGCAGUGGGGAAUAUUGCACAAUGGGGGAAACCCUGAUGCAGCGACGCCGCGUGAAGGAAGAAGUAUCUCGGUAUGUAAACUUCUAUCAGCAGGGAAGAUAGUGACGGUACCUGACUAAGAAGCCCCGGCUAACUACGU
Molecule: ribosomal RNA, 475 nt
Filed under: uncultured bacterium
Lineage: Bacteria
Description: partial 16S ribosomal RNA
Rfam family: Bacterial small subunit ribosomal RNA
Source: RNAcentral